CAAUAGCGUAUAUUAAAGUUGUUGCGGUUAAAAAGCUCGUAGUUGGAUUUCUGUUGAGGAUGGGCGGUCCGCACAUCGUGCGUGUAUCUGUUACAGCCUCGGCAUCCUCUUGAAGAACGAACUGUGAUUUAUUUCGUGGUUCGGAAUUCAAGACUUUUACUUUGAGGAAAUUAGAGUGUUCAAAGCAGGCAAUCGCUUGAAUACAUUAGCAUGGAAUAAUAGAAUAGGACUUUGGUUCUAUUUUGUUGGUUUCUAGGACCGAAGUAAUGAUUAAUAGGGACAGUUGGGGGCAUUAGUAUUUAAUUGUCAGAGGUGAAAUUCUUGGAUUUAUGAAAGACUAACUACUGCGAAAGCAUUUGCCAAGGAUGUUUUCAUUAAUCAAGAACGAAAGUUAGGGAUCGAAGACGAUUAGAUACCAU
This 419-nucleotide ribosomal RNA is filed under the name uncultured eukaryote. RNAcentral's name for it is "bacterial SSU rRNA". It matches the Rfam family "Eukaryotic small subunit ribosomal RNA", at positions 592 to 1018 of the family's 1831-position model. The record is from RNAcentral.